UGGGGAAUAUUGCACAAUGGGCGCAAGCCUGAUGCAGCAACGCCGCGUGAACGAUGAAGGUCUUCGGAUCGUAAAGUUCUGUUGCAGGGGAAGAUAAUGACGGUACCCUGUGAGGAAGCCCCGGCUAACUACGUGCCAGCAGCCGCGGUAAUACGUAGGGGGCUAGCGUUAUCCGGAUUUACUGGGCGUAAAGGGUGCGUAGGUGGUCUUUCAAGUCGGUGGUUAAAGGCUACGGCUCAACCGUAGUUAGCCUCCGAAACUGGAAGACUUGAGUGCAGGAGAGGAAAGUGGAAUUCCCAGUGUAGCGGUGAAAUGCGUAGAUAUUGGGAGGAACACCAGUAGCGAAGGCGGCUUUCUGGACUGCAACUGACACUGAGGCACGACAGCGUGGGGAUCAAACAGG
This 403-nucleotide ribosomal RNA is filed under the name Verrucomicrobiota bacterium. RNAcentral describes it as "Verrucomicrobia bacterium partial 16S ribosomal RNA". It matches the Rfam family "Bacterial small subunit ribosomal RNA", at positions 355 to 776 of the family's 1533-position model. Lineage: Bacteria; Pseudomonadati; Verrucomicrobiota. The record is from RNAcentral.